GCUCAGAACGUACGCUGUCGGCACGCCUUAUACAUGCAAGUCGAACGAAGUAGCAAUACUUAGUGGCAGACGGGUGAGUAACAUGUGGGUAUCUACCCUUUGGCCUGGAAUAACACGAGGAAACUUGUGCUAAUACCGGAUAAGUCUUUACGGAGAAAGCUUUAUGCACCAUUGGAUGAGCCCGCACUUGAUUAGUUUGUUGGUAGGGUAAUGGCCUACCAAGACAAUGAUCAAUAGCUGAUUUGAGAGGAUGAUCAGCCACAUUGGGACUGAGACACGGCCCAAACUCCUACGGGAGGCAGCAGUGGGGAAUCUUGCACAAUGGGGGAAACCCUGAUGCAGCGAUGCCGCGUGAGUGAAGAAGGCCUUUGGGUUGUAAAGCUCUUUCGUCGGGGAAGAAAAUGACUGUACCCGAAUAAGAAGGUCCGGCUAACUUCGUGCCAGCAGCCGCGGUAAUACGAAGGGACCUAGCGUAGUUCGGAAUUACUGGGCUUAAAGAGUUCGUAGGUGGUUGAAAAAGUUGGUGGUGAAAUCCCAGAGCUUAACUCUGGAACUGCCAUCAAAACUUUUUAGCUAGAGUAUGAUAGAGGAAAGCAGAAUUUCUAGUGUAGAGGUGAAAUUCGUAGAUAUUAGAAAGAAUACCAAUUGCGAAGGCAGCUUUCUGGAUCAUUACUGACGCUGAGGAACGAAAGCAUGGGUAGCGAAGAGGAGUAGAUACCCUCGUAGUCCAUGCCGUAAACGAUGUGUGUUAGACGUUGGAAAUUUAUUUUCAGUGUCGCAGUGAAAACAAUAAACACACCGCCUGGGGAGUACGACCGCAAGGUUAAAACUCAAAUGAAUUGACGGGGACCCGCACAAGUAGUGGAGCAUGUGGUUUAAUUCGAAGAUACGCGCAGAACCUUACCAACACUUGACAUGUUCGUCGCGAGCCUAAGAGAUUAGGCUUUUCAGUUCGGCUGGACGAAACACAGGUUCUGCA
This 979-nucleotide ribosomal RNA is filed under the name marine metagenome. Its description in RNAcentral is "bacterial SSU rRNA". It matches the Rfam family "Bacterial small subunit ribosomal RNA", at positions 22 to 1045 of the family's 1533-position model. The record is from RNAcentral.